GACGAACGCUGGCGGCGUGCCUAAUACAUGCAAGUAGAACGCUGAAGAGAGGAACUUGCUCUUCUUGGAUGAGUUGCGAACGGGUGAGUAACGCGUAGGUAACCUGCCUUGUAGCGGGGGAUAACUAUUGGAAACGAUAGCUAAUACCGCAUAACAAUGGAUGACACAUGUCAUUUAUUUGAAAGGGGCAAUUGCUCCACUACAAGAUGGACCUGCGUUGUAUUAGCUAGUAGGUGAGGUAACGGCUCACCUAGGCGACGAUACAUAGCCGACCUGAGAGGGUGAUCGGCCACACUGGGACUGAGACACGGCCCAGACUCCUACGGGAGGCAGCAGUAGGGAAUCUUCGGCAAUGGGGGCAACCCUGACCGAGCAACGCCGCGUGAGUGAAGAAGGUUUUCGGAUCGUAAAGCUCUGUUGUAAGUCAAGAACGAGUGUGAGAGUGGAAAGUUCACACUGUGACGGUAGCUUACCAGAAAGGGACGGCUAACUACGUGCCAGCAGCCGCGGUAAUACGUAGGUCCCGAGCGUUGUCCGGAUUUAUUGGGCGUAAAGCGAGCGCAGGCGGUUUGAUAAGUCUGAAGUUAAAGGCUGUGGCUCAACCAUAGUUCGCUUUGGAAACUGUCAAACUUGAGUGCAGAAGGGGAGAGUGGAAUUCCAUGUGUAGCGGUGAAAUGCGUAGAUAUAUGGAGGAACACCGGUGGCGAAAGCGGCUCUCUGGUCUGUAACUGACGCUGAGGCUCGAAAGCGUGGGGAGCGAACAGGAUUAGAUACCCUGGUAGUCCACGCCGUAAACGAUGAGUGCUAGGUGUUGGAUCCUUUCCGGGAUUCAGUGCCGCAGCUAACGCAUUAAGCACUCCGCCUGGGGAGUACGACCGCAAGGUUGAAACUCAAAGGAAUUGACGGGGGCCCGCACAAGCGGUGGAGCAUGUGGUUUAAUUCGAAGCAACGCGAAGAACCUUACCAGGUCUUGACAUCCCGAUGCUAUUUCUAGAGAUAGAAAGUUACUUCGGUACAUCGGUGACAGGUGGUGCAUGGUUGUCGUCAGCUCGUGUCGUGAGAUGUUGGGUUAAGUCCCGCAACGAGCGCAACCCCUAUUGUUAGUUGCCAUCAUUCAGUUGGGCACUCUAGCGAGACUGCCGGUAAUAAACCGGAGGAAGGUGGGGAUGACGUCAAAUCAUCAUGCCCCUUAUGACCUGGGCUACACACGUGCUACAAUGGUUGGUACAACGAGUUGCGAGUCGGUGACGGCAAGCUAAUCUCUUAAAGCCAAUCUCAGUUCGGAUUGUAGGCUGCAACUCGCCUACAUGAAGUCGGAAUCGCUAAUAAUCGCGGAUCAGCACGCCGCGGUGAAUACGUUCCCGGGCCU
This 1369-nucleotide ribosomal RNA is filed under the name uncultured bacterium. RNAcentral's name for it is "bacterial SSU rRNA". It matches the Rfam family "Bacterial small subunit ribosomal RNA", at positions 28 to 1381 of the family's 1533-position model. The record is from RNAcentral.